GACAGCGCUGGGGAGAAUGAACAACUGAGUACUCAUGUCUUUAUGCACUGUAGUAUUAUUUCCUUGCAACAGACUCCUGAACAUGGAACGGCAGGGUCAAAGGAUUCACAAAAUGUUGGACUUCUGAAGCAAAUCAGGUGGCACCUUUUUUUGAAUAAUGAAGAGUCUUUACCCCUGGCAUGAGGAGCUGAGGACAACUCCCACUCCACGAUGUGAAGCCACAGGGUUUCAAGGCCCCAGGACCUCCAGCAUCAGUGUUGUGGGAUGAUGGGUGACAGAGCCAGAGCAUUGCCAUCUUGGACAAGCGCCAUCAUUCUGAAGUUCCCCUUGAUCAAAAACUGCCUAAACCCAAAGGAUAUCAGCCUGAUGGCUAAGAUGCCUCCUGAUUGACCUAGUACACUGGGUUAAAAGGGAAUUAAAAACAUUA
This 427-nucleotide non-coding RNA is filed under the name Pongo abelii (Sumatran orangutan). The record is from RNAcentral. Lineage: Eukaryota; Metazoa; Chordata; Mammalia; Primates; Hominidae.